Molecule: ribosomal RNA, 2039 nt
Filed under: Myxobolus compostellanus
Lineage: Eukaryota; Metazoa; Cnidaria; Myxozoa; Bivalvulida; Myxobolidae
Description: SSU rRNA
Rfam family: Eukaryotic small subunit ribosomal RNA
Source: RNAcentral
CCAGUAAAUAUAUGCUCUUUUCUAAGAUUAAGCCAUGCACGUUUCAGUUCAUACAUUUCAACUGUGAGACUGCGGAAGGCUCAGUAUAUCAGUUAUAAUCUAUUUGAUUGUACAGCCCAAUGGAUAACCGUGGGAAAUCUAGAGCUAAUACAUGCACACUUAUUUGCAAGGCGUCAAAACCUUGCAAGGCAUUUAUUGGACCAAUACCAACUGUACAUUAGGGGUUAACGCCUCUGACGUACAAGGUGAAUCUAGAUAACUUUGCCGAUCGCAUGGCUUCGGGCCGGCGACGUUUCAAUUGAAUUUCUGCCCUAUCAACUUGUUGGUAAGAUAGAUGCUUACCAAGGUGGCGACGGGUAACGGGGGAUCAGGGUUCGAUUCCGGAGAGGGAGCCUGAGAAAUGGCUACCACAUCCAAGGACGGCAGCAGGCGCGCAAAUUACCCAAUCCAGACAAUGGGAGGUGGUGACGAGAAAUACUAGUCAGUGUCUCAAAAGGACGCUGAUCUGGAAUGGACGCAAUUUAAGCAAUUCGAUGAGUAACAACUGGAGGGCAAGUCUAGUGCCAGCAGCCGCGGUAAUUCUAGCUCCAGUGGUGUAUUUUAAUGUUGCUGCGUUUAAAACGCUCGUAGUUGGAUUACGCAGUGCGAGUCGGUCAAUCAGCAGAGCUUCACAUUCAAACCGAGGCGUUGUGGCCAUGAACCGGGUUUCCUUGAACGUGACAUGGCGUCUCGGUGUGUUGCAUGUCGAUUAUCAGCCGGCCCACACUACUUGUACGUGAGGAUGGCGGUUGACCUUUAGUGCGUUGACUGUUCGUGUCUCACGGAGUGUGCCUUGAAUAAAUCAGAGUGCUCAAAGCAGGCUUACGCUUGAAUGUUAAUAGCAUGGAACGAACAAUUGUGUUAUACGUGUCUGUAUCUAUCGCUGGAUGGAUUUAUUUUGUCCAGUUGUAGGUGCAGUUCACAUCACCAACCGCCAAUAACGGAUGUUGGUUUCCGUAUUGGGGUGAUGAUUAAAAGGAGCGAUUGGGGGCAUUGGUAUUUGGCCGCGAGAGGUGAAAUUCUUGGACCGGCCAAGGACUAACAAAUGCGAAGGCAAUUGCCAAGAUCGUUUCCAUUAAUCAAGAACGACAGUCCGAGGUUCGAAGUCGAUCAGAUACCGACUUAGUUCGGACCGUAAACUAUGCCGACCCGAGAUCAGUUUUGAGCUAAUAAACGCUCGAGGUUGCUCUCCCUGGGAAACCUCAAGUUUUUAGGUUACGGGGGGAGUAUGGUUGCAAAGCUGAAACUUAAAGGAAUUGACGGAAGGGCACCACCAGGGGUGGAGCCUGCGGCUUAAUUUGACUCAACACGGGAAAACUCACCUGGUCCGGACAUCGAAAGGAUAGACAGACUGAUAGAUCUUUCUUGAUACGUUGGUUGGUGGUGCAUGGCCGUUCUUAGUUCGUGGAGUGAUCUGUCAGGUUGAUUCCGGUAACGGACGAGACCAUAUUCUCCAUUUGAGGAAUGCAAAAACUCAGUUUGGGUGUGUUGGUUCGCCAGCAUGUUCUCUCUGUAGCUGGUAGUUGCUGAAUAACCGAGUUUGACCAUCAUUAUGAGGAAGAGGGUAACUUUGACCAAGUCUUGGUGGCCAAAUUCGGGGAUGCUGUACGCCUUUGCAAUAAACGGUGGCAGGCAACUGUUCACUGUCUUAUGGAGAGACAACGAUAUAUACGUCAAAAAUCGAGGACGUGUGGCGAUAACAGGUCUGUGAUGCCCUAAGAUGUUCAGGGCCGCACGCGCGCUACAAUGAUAACGUCAGCGAGUAUCUGGGUUGUCAAACUUGGGUAAUCUUGUCAAUCGUUAUCGUGAUGGGGAUUGAUCGUUGUAAUUGUCGGUCAUGAAAGAGGAAUCCCUAGUAUGUGCACUUCAUUAGAGUGUACAGAUUAAGUCCCUGCCCUUUGUACACACCGCCCGUCGCUACUACCGAGUGAAUGGUGUCCUGAUGCUUUGGGACUGGACGUCAUUCGCCUUUUCGGAGGCGAAGUGAUGCUGGGAUCAAA